AAGGUUUGAUUUUUGUUGAUUUCAUAAAUCCUAAUUAAUUGUUCUUCUUUUGAUUAACUUUUUGCCAUAAUUUUGUGAUGCAUAUUUAUGUGAGAUCUAAGAUCUCUAAGAUUCUAUUUUCUGUCAUUUGCCCAAAUGGUCUUUUUUUUUCAUUCAAUUAAUUCUGUUAUGGAGGAAGAUAGGAGUUCUAGUGAAAACCAUGGCAAAAACAGAAACAAGAUAUUAAAUAGAGUGCUGGAAGAAGCAAAAUUCUCUGUUAUUAUUGGGAUUUCCUUCCGUCUUAGUUUUUAAUCUUGCUUAAUCAGUCCCACAACUACUUGUAAGAGUUACAUCUGUGUUGGCGUCAUGGAUUUUGCAUACAGUUGAACUUCUAAAUACAACUGCAUUACGAUAAUAACAGAGUGAUAAACAUAUAUGUCUCAUUGUUCUUGGUUAUAAAAACAUGCCAAUUUAAGCAAGUGAAUGACUUUGAAAAUUGACAUGUUGAUAUUACCCGUAUGGAUGAAAUUGCUUCAGCUGUUUAGAAUAACCCGAUUGUUAGAUUUUGAGUGAACCACAAGGUUGACUCAAUUCUAAAGAUAACACUGGCACAUUACUUUACGGCUUAUCUGAAUAUAUCAACUGCUUUACAGCAAGUAGUAAUAUACUAGAAAGUACUUUUGGAAUUCUUUGUCAAUAAUUUGAUUGGACCUAAGAUGAAAUGAUGAAAUAACUUAACAGUCUCCUAAAGGUAAUAGUGAGUCAAUAAGACAUAAGCUAAAUGCUAAACUGAUGCAAAUUUUAAGCAAAACCAUUGUUCACACAACCUUUGGACUUGAUUUUCAAUAUCUUUGCUGGUUGUCAUUGCAAUUAUCGAUUAGUUCUGUUCUGGUGAGUUCCUUAGCUACAUGUAUACACAUGUAAUCCUAUGAAGCAUAUAAGGAGAAAGAAAGAGCAAAGAUGAGAAUAACAUAAAAUGAUUGUAUUAAUUUUAGGGAAGAAAAGGUGAAAGGUAUGCCUAAGGUCAGUUUAAAAUUUUAGCCAACGUGAAGCACUUAUUUUGCACACCUUUUGCCUUCUCUGAUUACCUAUAAUUUGCAUUGUUCCUUAAUCCUUCAGAUCAAGGACUCUGAUAUGAGAAAGAAAGAAAAUAUGGUCCUAAUCUGAUGACUGCUUGCUUGUCUUUCAUUUAUGUGAUCUUUUUCGUUCCCUUUUAUUAUGGAGAACAUAGUUAAUUAAUAUAUGUCGCUCUCUUAGUUGAUUGAGCACAUUUGAAUAAUGAUACAUUGGCUUGCCUUAUCUGCAGCAUGCCCUGUGAAUUUCGAGUUUCUGAACUACACAAUCAUCACAAGCAAAUGCAAAGGACCCCAGUUUCCACCUGACAAAUGCUGUAGUGCUUUUAAGGAAUUUGCUUGUCCUUAUGCAGAUCAGAUUAAUGACUUGACGACAGACUGCGCUACAACCAUGUUCAGCUACAUUAACCUGUAUGGGAAAUACCCUCCUGGUCUUUUUGCCAGCGAGUGUCGGGAUGGGAAGCGAGGACUUAAAUGCCCUGCACCAGCACCAACUCAGUCGGCAAAUGCAGAUCACAUGUAAAAAAAACCCAAUUAAGAAUUUAAAUUUUUUUUGACGUUUUUGUAUUUAUCUAAACAUACAAUCUCGUAAUGAGAUUGCUUUAUAACAAAUAAAAUAUUGUUCUUGUAUUGUUCAAGUAACAUUUAUUAAUGGAAUUCAUCAAUCGGACAACAGUAGCCUCCCGUCUUCAAUUUCUUUGACAGGCAAAUCCUAGCUGUCAAACCAAUAACAUACCAGUACAAGAAAGAAUCUCUUGCACAAGCCAAUCCAUUUUAAGGAAAGAUUGAAACUGAUUAUUAAUUGUGAGCAAUUUUUUUACCAUACAGACACAAACAGUGAGUGAGAUCCAUGGGGUAUGUGUAAUAAGAUGUCUUUCCCCAUCAUAAGAGAGAGGGAAAGAGAAAUCGGUUGAGGAAAAAAAAAAAAAAAGAGAGAACGAGAAAAAAGAGAGAGAGAGAAAGAUGGAGAGAAAAGAGAGAAAAGAAAAGAAAAAGAUUUUUUCUUAGUUCUGACAUAGCCAACACAUGGGAUCAAGUUGUUAUUGCUGGGAGAAGUUUUGGAGUUAAGUUUUAAUUAUUGGUUUCUGUUAAAUUGUUGUGGAGAAGCAUGAUUGCAAUAGAAGUAGAAACCUAAGAUUUUGUAGAAAUAUGCUGACAGUGAAUUAUUACGAAAAGUAUAAUAAUUUAUACAAAUUAAUUUUUUAUUCUAAUUUUUGGGUAUGUUAAACUAGACGUCGUUUAGAAUGUUUUGAAACUUGUUUCAAGUUAAUCGGAUAAGAUUUCAAUUAAUUAUUAUCUUUCAAAGUCAAGUCUGAAAACCUGAAAAUUUAUGAUUUCAGUGAAUAACAUGAAUUACGAAAUUAUUUUUACCAUAGUUAGACUUCUUCGAAAAUUAUGAAAUUUGGAUCAAUGAUUUUUAUAUAUGUCUAGUAUGAUUCUGUAAAUUUUCAUGAUUUUAUGAUAAAGCAAUAAAUUGUUUUGUAUUUUUAAAACAAGUGUGUUCAAAAUAGAAAAUUAUUUGACAGUAUUGAUGAUGUCUGAAACGUCAAUUAUUUUCAAUAUUUUUUGAAGGAAUUAUGUUACGAAAUUUUUAUCAAUGAACUUUCAAUGUGUCAGCAUAUAAUCUGUAAAAUUUGAGGUUUUUACUUCUAUUACAAUUAUGCUUCUCCACAACAAUUUAAUAGAAACCAAUAAUUAAAACUUACCAUCAAAACUUCUCCCAACAAUAACAACUUGAUCUCAUGUGUUGCAUAUGGCAGAACUAAGAAGAAGAAGAAGAAGAAGAAGAAGAAUACUUUCUUCUUCUCUUUUUCUUUUCUUUUCUCUCCAUCUCUCUCUCUCUCCUCUCUCUUUCUCUCUCUUUUGUCGUUCUUUUUUUUUUUCCUCAACCAUUUCUCUUUCCCUCUCUCUUAUGAUGGGGAAAGACAUCUUAUUCUAUUUAUACUAAGGUAAAAAUGAUUACUAAAAACUAAAAAUACGUAAAUACCCUUAGGAGAUUUGGGGUAAUUUGAUUAAAAUUGCUUAUGAGUGGAAAUAUUACAUGAGGUACCCAUGGAUGUCCAGAAUAGCCUUGUAGAAUAUUAUGUCAUUCUUAGUUUUAGAUUAAGAGUUAAAAUUCUGAGCAUCAGACCUGUACAGAUAUGAAUUAGAAAAAUCAGGUUCUUAGAAUCAGUUAUUAAUUGUCAUGCCUUGUAUUUGUUUAAGGUGUUGGAGGUGAUUGAAACUCUUAGAGGUAUAAAGGUGUGUUAAUUCAAAUUCUUUUGUCGAGGUAAGUAACUUCAUUCUUAGUAUACUUGAUAUGUAUAAGUAUUUUGAUAUUAUUAUUAUAAGUAUAAAUGUUUUUAUACUACUUAAAUGAUUAAUUGAUUUUGAUAACAAAAUUAGUUUUAUGUAAAUGUUUUCAAACCUAAAUUCUUUUUAACAAAAUAUUUUAUAAAUGCUUUUUAAUAUGUAAAUUAUUUUAUGACGUGACUACCUUUUAUGAUUUUAUCUAUAAAACAAUUUGCAAGCCUAAAUUAUUGUUAUGGACUUUUAUGAAUCCGAUACGAAUCUUUUGUGCAUAUGCAUGAUUUUAAUUAUUUAUGAUUGUACGGGGGCCACAUCUUGAAAGUCAAAGCGUCACAAAGUGUCACAUAUAGUGCAAAGUGUCACGUAUAAGUCAUUAUGUUUUGGCUCAUUGUCCGUAGUUAUUCUGAUUCUUAUUCUGAUUCUGAUCGUAUAAUACAAUAUAUGUUUGUUCUGGACCAAUACUGAGUUUCUGUUUUGAGUGUGCACACGAUAUUCGGAUUUUGUUUUUGGCUGAGUCACCAGGACUAUAGGUGGCACUAUGUAACAUGAGCUAACUUUUUAUUUUUUUUGUGAAUGUGAUAUAUGAUUUGCUUUCGUAAGUAACUAUGCUUUUGAUAUUUUGAGAUACAAUGAAUUUAUGUUAUUUUAUCGUGAUAUAUCGUUUUAUGAAAUUUAUUGAUUAUGAUAUAUGUUUUUAAAUAAAAGAAGGCUUGCAAUAUUUUUAAUAUCGAUAGGCUUAGUGUGUUAGGAAUAGUUUUACUUACCGAGUUGACGGCUCACCCAUUGUCAUUACUUUUUUGCAGAUUAAGUUCCUUUUGAAAGGUGUGCUUAGCUUUGAAGUUAGAGAUUUUGUUUCUGUUUGCUAUUUGAAUAAAAGGAGGAAUAGACUCAUAUUCUUUUUAUUUUAUUUUUGUUAUGAACUUGAAAUUUAGAGUUUGAGACUUCUGUUAUAUUUAUGUUUUGAGAGAGAUUAUUUAGUGUUAGAUAUAUGAAUUUGUGGAUUUAUUUGAAUAAGAAUUUGAGAUAUUUCAGUUUGGAAUUUAUGAGUAAGGAUUACGAUUUAUAAGUAACCUCCUUCUUCACGUGCUCCGCACGUGUUAGAUUUGGGGUGUUACAAUAUGUGUGGCACUAAUGUUAUAAUUUGUCAAUAGAUUGUAAUAUUAUUAUUUUUUUCUCAAAGAAAAAACAAAUUGUGUACAAUUUUCAUCCACACUCAAGAAGGCAGCCCAUUUUUUCUUUUUUCUUUUUUCUUUUUUACUUUUUUUUUUUUUAAACAUUAGCCCAAAUUUAUCUGAUAGAACCUUUAACGAGAAAUCAAAAUAAAAUUAACAACAGAAAAAUAUCUCGGAUGAAAAUUGGAGCGGUUGAAACCGAUAUUAACGGUAAACUGUCGGGUCUUUGCUUUGCAGACUGCAAUACACAACGGUAACUGAUAACAUGGUUAGAGUAACAGUAAUAGUCACCAGUCACAACAGUUUCUGUAGCCAAAAACCAAAAAAUAAAAAUUAAUGACAGUAACAAAAACUCAAAAGAAAAAUAAAAAUUAAAUUAAAAAAAAAUCCCGGUUUCCGCGUUUUUAUGGGUUGUAAUCCAAGAGCCAGCAACCACUACUGAGACGACUGCUCCUUGUCUUUUUAUUACAAAAUCAUUAUGACAUGUUAUAAAUCUUUAAACUCAUUCAAAUCUGCUCCGUCGCUGUCUGUUGCAUACUGGUUUUGUACAAGCGUGUAAAAAGCUUCUUUCUUUUUUGAAGAGAAUAGGUCGGAGCACAAAAAAAAUUGGAUCUUUUCUGGUGCUGUGAGAGAAAUGGUGGAGUUCAACAGAGGGUUUCUAUCUAUUUUUCUUUUGUUUAUUUUGAUGGGUUUGUCUUCUGCAACUUCCAUUUCAGGUAAUUUAAGGUUUUUCUUUUUCUUAAAGUUAUAUUUAUGCUACUUGGGAUUUUGUUUGGUAGUGAAAUAUAUGUUCUUGAGUUGAAUGCAGAUGGUAUCUUUGAAUCGCACGCUUUUACUGGCAGAAAUCUUCUCCAGGCUAAGAAAGGUUUGAUUUUUGUUGAUUUCAUAAAUCCUAAUUAAUUGUUCUUCUUUUGAUUAACUUUUUGCCAUAAUUUUGUGAUGCAUAUUUAUGUGAGAUCUAAGAUCUCUAAGAUUCUAUUUUCUGUCAUUUGCCCAAAUGGUCUUUUUUUUUUUCAUUCAAUUAAUUCUGUUAGUGAGGAAGAUAGGAGUUUUAGUGAAAACCAUGGCAAAAACAGAAACAAGAUAUUAAAUAGAGUGCUGGAAGAAGCAAAAUUCUCUGUUAUUAUUGGGAUUUCCUUCCGUCUUAGUUUUUAAUCUUGCUUAAUCAGUCCCACAACUACUUGUAAGAGUUACAUCUGUGUUGGCGUCAUGGAUUUUGCAUACAGUUGAACUUCUAAAUACAACUGCAUUACGAUAAUAACAGAGUGAUAAACAUAUAUGUCUCAUUGUUCUUGGUUAUAAAAACAUGCCAAUUUAAGCAAGUGAAUGACUUUGAAAAUUGACAUGUUGAUAUUACCCGUAUGGAUGAAAUUGCUUCAGCUGUUUAGAAUAACCCGAUUGUUAGAUUUUGAGUGAACCACAAGGUUGACUCAAUUCUAAAGAUAACACUGGCACAUUACUUUACGGCUUAUCUGAAUAUAUCAACUGCUUUACAGCAAGUAGUAAUAUACUAGAAAGUACUUUUGGAAUUCUUUGUCAAUAAUUUGAUUGACCUAAGAUGAAAUGAUGAAAUAACUUAACAGUCUCCUAAAGGUAAUAGUGAGUCAAUAAGACAUAAGCUAAAUGCUAAACUGAUGCAAAUUUUAAGCAAAACCAUUGUUCACACAACCUUUGGACUUGAUUUUCAAUAUCUUUGCUGGUUGUCAUUGCAAUUAUCGAUUAGUUCUGUUCUGGUGAGUUCCUUAGCUACAUGUAUACACAUGUAAUCCUAUGAAGCAUAUAAGGAGAAAGAAAGAGCAAAGAUGAGAAUAACAUAAAAUGAUUGUAUUAAUUUUAGGGAAGAAAAGGUGAAAGGUAUGCCUAAGGUCAGUUUAAAAUUUUAGCCAACGUGAAGCACUUAUUUUGCACACCUUUUGCCUUCUCUGAUUACCUAUAAUUUGCAUUGUUCCUUAAUCCUUCAGAUCAAGGACUCUGAUAUGAGAAAGAAAGAAAAUAUGGUCCUAAUCUGAUGACUGCUUGCUUGUCUUUCAUUUAUGUGAUCUUUUUCGUUCCCUUUUAUUAUGGAGAACAUAACAUAGUUAAUUAAUGUAUGUCGCUCUCUUAGUUGAUUGAGCACAUUUGAAUAAUGAUACAUUGGCUUGCCUUAUCUGCAGCAUGCCCUGUGAAUUUCGAGUUUCUGAACUACACAAUCAUCACAAGCAAAUGCAAAGGACCCCAGUUUCCACCUGACAAAUGCUGUAGUGCUUUUAAGGAAUUUGCUUGUCCUUAUGCAGAUCAGAUUAAUGACUUGACGACAGACUGCGCUACAACCAUGUUCAGCUACAUUAACCUGUAUGGGAAAUACCCUCCUGGUCUUUUUGCCAGCGAGUGUCGGGAAGAGAAGCGAGGUCUUGAAUGUCCUGCAUCAGCACCAACUCAGUCGGCAAAUGCAAGUAGGAGUCAGAUCACAUGUAAUUCAUCCCCACUGCUAAUGUUCAC
RNAcentral lists this long non-coding RNA (6991 nucleotides) under Citrus maxima (pomelo). Its description in RNAcentral is "long non-coding RNA (CMAX_LNC001953)". The record is from RNAcentral. Lineage: Eukaryota; Viridiplantae; Streptophyta; Magnoliopsida; Sapindales; Rutaceae.